Pelecanus crispus (Dalmatian pelican) is the source of this 3833-nucleotide non-coding RNA. The record is from RefSeq and is a predicted model, not a curated record. NCBI's taxonomy places the organism in Eukaryota, Metazoa, Chordata, Aves, Pelecaniformes, Pelecanidae.
UCUUCCAUACAAUGAGUUCUUUGGUGGUGUAAGUGGCCUGACAGUGGAACAAUUCAAGAAGAUCAAUGGGUUUCCAAAUGCCUUUUGGGGAUGGGGUGGAGAAGAUGAUGAUCUUUGGAACAGGGUUCACUAUGCUGGAUACAAUGUAACAAGACCAGAGGGAGAUUUAGGGAAGUACAAAUCCAUUCCUCAUCAUCACAGAGGUGAAGUCCAGUUUUUAGGACGAUAUAAACUUCUGAGGUAUUCCAGAGAACGUCAGUAUAUUGAUGGGUUGAACAAUUUAAUAUAUACUCCUAAAAUACUUGUCAGUAGAUUGUAUAAAAAUAUAACUGUUAAUCUGAUACCAGAACUUGCUCCUGUUAGAGACUAUUGAUGGAAGUGGAAUGACAAGCUACCCUACCAGAAUAAACUUUUAACACUGGAAGCUACUAAUAGUCACUGUAAAACCAAACCAAACCAAACCAACAAACAGCAGCUUAGAAUUAGAGAUUUUUGACCACUUGGUGAUGCGUAUUUGGGAUGAGAAGUAAAGUGAUUGUAUGUACCAUGCAUUUUGUUCUGAAAGAAAAGCCAGCAGCUACCACUCAGAUGUUUACAGCAUGAGACUACUGUUCAAGCCUUCAUUCUUCAUAUUCUCUAUCUUAACCCCUCAACUAAAUAAACUGCAGAAAACAGACUUGUAGCUUCUCUGGAAGUAGGGGCAAAGGCCUCUUCUUCCAGGAAUUUUUUAUACUAAACCACCCCCUGUCGUAUUUAAAUGAAUGCUUUUGUUUCUUUCUAAAAUGUGUUUUGUAAAUAUGUGAUGUAAAUUAAUGUGUGUACAUUGCUUUUAAAUUGCUCAAUAUUUUAUGCUUCAGUGUGUAUUUGAGUGUGUUCUUGUUUGAAUUCUAUAGGAAUGUUUUUAUUAGCAUGAAAGAACAAGUGUAAAAUGUAAGUAUGCUUAAAAAAAGGUUAUACCUUAUGUGAAAUGAAGGAAAUAUUAAUUGUUGGCCAGCUAUGACUGUAAACUGUUAUACUAGUUUUGAGCUCUAGGCCUCCUGCAUAUCUAUAUAGAAAAAUCAAUUCCGUAUAUGAACUUGCUAGAAAGAAAGCUUUUAAUUUUAUUUAUUGCCAGCAAAAUUGUAUGAUACCCUGCCUGCCAUCUAAAUCCUAUUUAUAUGCAUAUUGCAUGUGUAUUAUGGAAAAUCUUGCGGUUGUUGCGUAUUAUGAUCUACAGGAAAUCUAAAUGUUUCCAAGUGUGCCACUAGUGUCAAUGUCAGGGAUUUUAAUGCCUAAAACAAUGUGUCUGGGUGCGUACAGUAUUUUGGUAUUGUUCUUUUUUUUUAAAAUCCUAGUAAACAGCACUUUUCUUCCUCCAAAAUCAGAAGAGCCAAAAAUGUGUCUUCAUUGGAAGAAUAUUAAAGUUACAUUUUUAAGAAAAUAAUAAAACAUAGUUCUAAUAGUUCUAAUGCUUGCGGUGUGGGAUUUUCAGAAGCACGGUGUUGGUCAGACUGUUCUGAUGAUGAUGAUGGCAUAAGCGGAACUGAAUGCAGGCCAAUUCCAAGUGCUUUUUAAAAUUCCACCCAUAAUAUAUUAAUCAAUAUAGCUAUUUAAGGGCCUGUUCUGGUAGAGUGCUGAGUGCUUCUAUGAUGCACUAAGUGUCCUCAAGUCAAUGACUUUCAAUGAGAUUGAGGUUGCGCAGUCCCGCUAAAGAUUGGUCCUGUCUAUUUCUCUAUUUUUGUGGUGUUAUAUGUAUAGGUAACUAGCCUCUUUCCUUGGCUUAUAAUGAAAAACAGAUCUUCUUAUUUUCUGUUUGCUUGUAAUGUUAUGCUACCUAAAAGUAUCCCACUGCUAAGCAUUAUUAACUUUUCCAAAUAUUUUUUUACAUCGCUUGUUAAUACUAAGGAAAAGGACCAGAACAUUUAUUUUCUGUUAAUGCAAGGGUAUUGACCAAGAUCUACUAAACUCUUUUGUUUGUCACAGUUACUCAACUCUUUAGGAACCAAAGACUGACUCCUGCUCCCAUGAAGAAUGGAAAGCACUAUACAAUAAGGAUUGUUUAUCCACAGAGUGUUCUGUAAGAGUGUUGACAAAGAAUACUAACUUUAACUCAUUACUGUGUGUUGGUUUCCUACAUUGCUGCCACAGAUGGUGUGGUGCUUUGUGUAUAUGAGUUUGUUUGCCAUAAACACCUUUUAUUUCUUUGACAUCCCAGCAACAAAUUUUGCCCUUAGCCAUUCUUCAGUAAAGUUAUGAGCUUAGUUGUAGGCAUCUCAAAUAUUUAGUAGAAAUGUAAUGAUUUAUUUUAAGUAGUUGAGAACAAUUGUAAGGGAUAUUUUAAACUGUAUUGGAAUUACCUUAAAAUCUACCAGUUAAUCUAAUAUGCUUUAGGAAUGAUGUAGUGCAAUGAAAAUAACAAAAAGCAUAAAGUGAACAAAACAUCCUUCAAAAGCAUGCUUAAGUGGUUUGAUCACCUCCUGAUAUAUUUUUCUAUAACUGAAUGUAUAGAAUAUUCUGAAGCAUAUGGAUAAAGGGGAGAUAAUUAAUACACUGUAUGAGCAAUUAUAUCUUCAAAAUAAAAUUAGUCUUAUUUCGUAACAGACUAAUACAAUUCUUGAAGAAUGGUUGAACAAAUUUUUAAAUCCCUGAUGUAAUUUUGAAGUGAUUUCUGGUUUUCAGUACAAGUUCACCUACAAUCUAACACCUAUGAUUCUGAAACAUCCUUUGAUACUGUAGGUCUGUACUGUUUUCUGAAGCAUGCUUUUGUGCCCAUUUGUUAGGCAUUCUGUGAAAUUCAUGUGCAAUUUUCUAAAAAUUCUAAUGCAUAUAUAUGUAUAUAUACAUACAUAUAUACACACUAUAUUACACAUAAGCUGUGGCUGAACUGAUAUAACUUUACAGCUCUAAGUGAUUAAUCAUGUAUGGUUGUAGAAAAAUGUGAUUUAAACCACUAUGUGAAUGGAUUAUGACAUAUAGCUGAGUUCUUAAAAAGUUUACAUUUUGGUGCCCCAAAGUGAUGGAUGUUAAAUUAUGAAUUGUUAACCGACACUCUUCUCUAAAUACCUUUUAUCACUUUGUUGGGAAGUUUUGAAAGUUGCCAUCCUAAAUUACAUCGAAGAUAGUGUUUGUAUACUACCUGCUUGAACUCAGUACUAUUCUGUAGUGAAUUUUAACAUAGACAGUGCCUUCAAACAAAAUAAAUGCGAUGCAGAACUAAGAGUUGUGCACAUUCCUUUUGAUAUUUUCAUGAUUCUUGUAAAAUGUAGAGAGAAGCCAAUCACAUUGGCUUUUGCAUUGCUGACAAGGCAAAUUAAGGACGUCCUCUCUUCAAGGAGUGAACAUGGAGGGAGAAGAAAGAGGGAAUAUUUUACAAGAUACUGAAAGUCUUGCAAAUUAACAAGUAAAAACAUUACAGAAAUAUUAACAGUGGAAUCUGGUUGAUAUGCUAAGAUACUCUUAAGCCCAUUUGCUGUAUUUCACAUUUAAGUAGGAGAAUAUAAAAUAUAAAAUCCAUUUUGCAAUAGACAGCAUAUUGAAAAGGAAGUGCAAAAUGUCCUUUUUCUUGGAUCUUGCCAGUCUAUUUUUCUAUCAUUAUGUUUACUAAUGACUAUGUUGUAGUGGGUUACUAAUGAGCCAAUUAUUUAAAAAUAUUAAAAGGAUCCAUUGCAUAUCAGCAAGAAGUGUACUUAAGAUUAUUUUAUUUGUAGAGGUAUGUAAGAUAGGCUUAAUGAAAAAUGCACUGAAACAAAUGCUGGGAAUUUCCUGUGUACUAUCAUAGUUUUGUUUUUUGUUGUUCAUGAAAAUGUUUGUACUUUUUUAUCAUUGUCUUUUAUGAAAUAUAAUGUUCUAAAGAU